GAUGAACGCUGGCGGCGUGCCUAAUACAUGCAAGUCGAGCGAACAGACGCGGAGCUUGCUCCUUUCUCGUUAGCCGCGGACGGGUGAGUAACACGUGGAUAACCUACUUAUCAUACUGGUAUCACUUCGGGAAACCGGAGCUAAUACCGGAUAAUAUCUUGAACCGCAUGGUUCAAUAGAGAAAGACGGCUUUGCUGUAUCUUCUCGCUGGUUCCGGGCCGCAUUGGCUGGUUGGUACGGUAACGGCUUACCAAGGCUACCAUGCGUGGCCGACCGGAGGGGGGGGUCGGCCACACGGGAACUGAGACGCGGACCAGACGCCUACGAGAGGGAGCAGAAGGGAACCUUCCGCAAUAGGCGAAAGCCUUGCGGAACAACGCCGCGUGAGUGAUGAAGAUCUUGGGUUCGGAAAACUCUGUUAUGGGGGAAGAACAGAUGUGUAAGGAACUAUGCACGGCUUGACGGUAACUAGUCAGAAAGCCACGGCUAACUACGUG
Molecule: ribosomal RNA, 497 nt
Filed under: uncultured bacterium
Lineage: Bacteria
Description: partial 16S ribosomal RNA
Rfam family: Bacterial small subunit ribosomal RNA
Source: RNAcentral